AAUUUGUUUUAUUUAUGUUAAAAAAUUUGGUAUAAAAAAAUUUUACAUAUAAAAUUUUUUAAAAUUAAUAUUUAAAUUUUAAUAAUUUAAAUUUAAAUUAUAUUUAUUAAUUUUAAUUAGUAGUAAUUAAUAUUAAAAUUUUUAUAAAUGUAAAUUUUUAGUUAUUGUUGAUAUUAUUGAUAAAAUUUGUGCCAGCAAUCGCGGUUAUACAAAUAAUAAAAUUAAAUUAUUUUUAUUUAAUAGUUAAAAUUUAAAAUUUUAAGAUAAAAUUAUAUAAAAAUAAAUUUUUAGGUGAAAUUAAAAAUUUUAUUAAAAUUAUUUUAUAAAAAUUUUUUGAAGCUAAAAAAAUUUAUUAAUAAACUAGGAUUAGAUACCCUAUUAUUUAAAUAGUUAAUUAAUUUUUAAAUAGGUAGUAUUAAUUAAUUUUUUAAAACUUAAAAAAUUUGGCGGUAUUUUAUUCUUUUUAGAGGAACUUGUUAUGUAAUUGAUAAUCCACAAAUAUCUUACUUAAUUUUGUUUUCUGUUUAUAUAUCGUUGUCAGAAGAAUAUUUUAUUAGAAUUAUAAAAUUUCUUAAUAAAUUAUUUUUUAAAAUGUCAAAUCAAGGUAUAAUUUAUAAUUAAGGUAUAAAUGAGUUACAAUAAAUUUUAUUUAUUUAUGAAUAAUUUAUUUAAAAAUAAAUUUGAAGGAGGAUUUAAAAGUAAAAAUACUAAUAAAGGUUUUUUGGUUAAAGUUUUAAAAUAUGUACAUAUCGCCCGUCGCUCUCGUUAUAAUUUUUAUAAAUGAGAUAAGUCGUAACAUAGUAGAAAUACUGGAAAGUGUUUCUAGAAAUAC
This 832-nucleotide non-coding RNA is filed under the name Tanytarsus formosanus. The record is from RNAcentral. Lineage: Eukaryota; Metazoa; Arthropoda; Insecta; Diptera; Chironomidae.